RNAcentral lists this long non-coding RNA (238 nucleotides) under Setaria italica (foxtail millet). RNAcentral describes it as "long non-coding RNA (SITA_LNC002360)". Lineage: Eukaryota; Viridiplantae; Streptophyta; Magnoliopsida; Poales; Poaceae. The record is from RNAcentral.
CGGUUGCUAAGCACAUAGCCUGAGACAAAUGGGAACCAACACGCCUCUUAUCUGCUCGCAUGUGUAUCAGAGUGAGAGGAGGUGCUCGGCGUGGGGAUGGAUGUUGGCGCUAUGUUCUGAAAACUGUUGCACACUGCGUUGACCACCAUUUUGUUGUCCAAACAUCAAGCAGACCGGAGGCGGUAACUGCACGAAUUUUUAGGAAAUUUAGCUCGUGCACAAACUAACACAAAGCGUU